Molecule: long non-coding RNA, 1191 nt
Filed under: Anser cygnoides (Swan goose)
Lineage: Eukaryota; Metazoa; Chordata; Aves; Anseriformes; Anatidae
Description: lncRNA (ENSACDG00005010684.1)
Source: RNAcentral
UGAGCUUGGAGGAGGUGAUCCUUGAAUAUUAACCGGACGAUCAUUUUUUUUCCAAGCUUGCAUUCAGACAAUCCACUGACUCAUGUAGCUGGAGUCUGGCUGAACUCUCACACCCAGGUCACAUCCAAAGCUGCAAGGGUUAAAGAGUCAGGUUUGCCCUGCCCUGCAUAAGGAUGAGUCAGGCAGCAGCUGUUAGCAAUACAAAAGAAUGGGUAAAUGGCCUUGAUGGGCCAUCUAUCUCAAACCUUCUCAAUCAAUUGGACAGACUUUUUGCCCAGCUCAGGGGUCACAGGACCACUGAUAGGUCUGCCAUGGAAAUGCAUGGCCAUGAAUUCUCCCUCCAGGGUCUAUGCAUAGGAAAGACAGAAGCAUGGAAGCGUAAGUGGAAGCAUGGAAGGAAAGCAAGAAGGUCCAAACCAGACAGCAGAGAAUUGCACUCCAUCCCACACAAAACUUCAAGACAGCUGCCAUAUCAGGAAUUGUUCUUCAGUGUAAUGGAAGACAGAAGUAGGGAGCACCAAGUUAGGCUGGAAGUCGUGAAGACUCUAAGAAAGUUGUCCCUAAGGCUCUUGCUGUUGUUCAUCUGGGAUUUCUGAGGUGCACCCCUGCUCCACACAGAGACUCGUUUCUUCCCUGUUACGUGGAACCAAACGAGGACACAUCUUGAAAGGAACCCCGCUGAAGGAACUGCUCCGCCAUCCCACAAAGCAAUGCCGCCGCUCCUCCAACAUGAAGACAGCUUCACACCAAGCUCAGCCUUUCUCCUUCCGAGGUCUCCCGGCUCUCAUGCCAGCACCGUCCCACCACCCAACUCCCACAGCCAGCACCUGACAGCCGCCAUCCCCUGCGCCCCGCGAGGAGCUGCCCGCCCUCAGGCAGCCGUGCGCUCCCUCCGCCCGCAGCGGCAAGGCCAGCCGCACUUUCACGGGUCGCGGGGACGCCGCCGGUGGCUCUGAAGCCAGUGGGACAGCCGAAGGGACCGAAGACGCAGCGACGGCCGGCGGGGGACGAGCCCGUGUGGCGGCUGGGGGCUCACUGACGGGCGGCCUGGGGGCGCAGGCGCCGAGUAACGGCCGAGGACGCGGGGAAGGGGGCGAUGUGCUAGCGGCCGCGCAUGCGCGCUGCUCCAGUCAGCGGCGGGGCGGGGCGCGCUCCCUGCGCUCCUGUCGCAGUUGUGGCGGCGCAGUGCGC